AGCACGUAGGUGGGUUUGUAAGUCAGAUGUGAAAGCCUUCUGUUCAACGGAAGAAUUGCAUCUGAAACUACGAACCUUGAGUAUAGGAGGGGAGAAUGGAACUUCUGGUGGAGCGGUGAAAUGCGUAGAUAUCAGAAGGAACGUCGGCGGCGAAAGCGAUUCUCUGGCCUGUUACUGACACUGAGUGUGCGAAAGCUAGGGGAGCAAACGGGAUUAGAUACCCCGGUAGUCCUAGCCGUAAACGAUGGGCACUAAGUAGAGGGGUUUU
This 268-nucleotide ribosomal RNA is filed under the name uncultured anaerobic ammonium-oxidizing bacterium. RNAcentral's name for it is "partial 16S ribosomal RNA". It matches the Rfam family "Bacterial small subunit ribosomal RNA", at positions 567 to 832 of the family's 1533-position model. The record is from RNAcentral.